AGCAGUGGCGGACGGGUGAGUAACGCGUGGGAACGUGCCCUUUGGUUCGGAACAACACAGGGAAACUUGUGCUAAUACCGAAUGUGCCCUUCGGGGGAAAGAUUUAUCGCCAUUGGAGCGGCCCGCGUUGGAUUAGCUAGUUGGUGGGGUAAAGGCCCACCAAGGCGACGAUCCAUAGCUGGUCUGAGAGGAUGAUCAGCCACACUGGGACUGAGACACGGCCCAGACUCCUACGGGAGGCAGCAGUAGGGAAUCUUGCGCAAUGGGCGAAAGCCUGACGCAGCCAUGCCGCGUGAAUGAUGAAGGUCUUAGGAUUGUAAAAUUCUUUCACCGGGGAAGAUAAUGACGGUACCCGGAGAAGAAGCCCCGGCUAACUUCGUGCCAGCAGCCGCGGUAAUACGAAGGGGGCUAGCGUUGCUCGGAAUUACUGGGCGUAAAGGGCGCGUAGGCGGACAGUUUAGUCAGAGGUGAAAGCCCAGGGCUCAACCUUGGAAUUGCCUUUGAUACUGGCUGUCUUGAGUUCGGGAGAGGUGAGUGGAAUGCCGAGUGUAGAGGUGAAAUUCGUAGAUAUUCGGCGGAACACCAGUGGCGAAGGCGACUCACUGGCCCGAUACUGACGCUGAGGCGCGAAAGCGUG
Molecule: ribosomal RNA, 637 nt
Filed under: uncultured Alphaproteobacteria bacterium
Lineage: Bacteria; Pseudomonadati; Pseudomonadota; Alphaproteobacteria
Description: bacterial SSU rRNA
Rfam family: Bacterial small subunit ribosomal RNA
Source: RNAcentral